UGGGGGAUAUUGCACAAUGGGCGAAAGCCUGAUGCAGCGACGCCGCGUGGGGGAUGAAGGCUUUCGGGUUGUAAACCUCCUUCGCUAUCGAACAAGGCCCGCUUAGGGUGGGUUGAGGGUAGGUGGAGAAGAAGCGCCGGCUAACUACGUGCCAGCAGCCGCGGUAAUACGUAGGGCGCGAGCGUUGUCCGGAAUUAUUGGGCGUAAAGGGCUUGUAGGCGGCUUGUUGCGCCUGCUGUGAAAACGCGGGGCUUAACUUCGCGCGUGCAGUGGGUACGGGCAGGCUUGAGUGUGGUAGGGGUGACUGGAAUUCCAGGUGUAGCGGUGGAAUGCGCAGAUAUCUGGAGGAACACCGAUGGCGAAGGCAGGUCACUGGGCCAUUACUGACGCUGAGGAGCGAAAGCAUGGGUAGCGAACAGG
This 420-nucleotide ribosomal RNA is filed under the name bacterium. RNAcentral describes it as "partial 16S ribosomal RNA". It matches the Rfam family "Bacterial small subunit ribosomal RNA", at positions 355 to 776 of the family's 1533-position model. The record is from RNAcentral.